This 2079-nucleotide long non-coding RNA is filed under the name Brassica napus (rape). RNAcentral's name for it is "long non-coding RNA (BNAP_LNC006447)". The record is from RNAcentral. Lineage: Eukaryota; Viridiplantae; Streptophyta; Magnoliopsida; Brassicales; Brassicaceae.
CUCUUUCUCUCUUCCCUCGCUCUCUGUUCAGAGCCAAAAGCAGAGCACAUAUACACACACACUUACGAUGUUGCUUGGAAAGAGACAACGACCACCGAUCAACAGAACAACUAGCCUGUCCGAGAUUAAGUUCGAUCUGAACCUUCCCAGCGAAUCAGAGGUACCAUCAACUCAUCAGAGUCCAAACCAAAAUACUGUGGUGGGACCGUCCGGUUCCAACGGUCAACACGUAGCAGCAGCCGUCGAUCCACGUUUCUUGGCUAUGGUUUCACCGAGAGGUAACCUGAGGAGACACUCAGGCGAGUUUUCCGACGCUGGACAUUUCUUGAGAUCUUGCUCCCUAUGUGAACGCUUACUUGUUCCUGGCCGUGACAUCUAUAUGUACAGGUAUGUAUAUGAACCAAAUAAUAAUAAAAACCGCUGACUCUUGAAUCUCUGAUCAUAGAGAGAGAUAUUCGUUAAAAUGAGAGUAAUUUUUUUCUUUUUACUUUUUAACCGUUUAACGAGUGUCUUAUUUUUUUGAAUCCAAACCCUAACAAAAAGUACAAUAAUUAGUUCCGGAAGAUAUUAGGCUUCCCUAAUUUGGAUUUUUUUUUUUUAAAGGCAAGUAGGCUUUUGAGUUUUGAGGAGUAUCUUCCCCAUGCAAAAUAUGCUCAACAUUUUUUGUUUGGUCAUUAAAUCGUCUACAAAUAAAUGUAAGGUAAAUGUUGAAGUUUGGUGAGAGAUAUGAGGCAUGUGAACAUUGUGAAGUGGAGAAACGAGAGGAGGCUCUAUAAAACUGCAAAGGCCAAAUUGAAUUAUAAACAUUGUUGUCAUUUGUCAAGAAGGUGGUCCAUUUUUAAUAGCCGAGACGUGAGGAACCAAAUAACAACAUUUCCCUUUCAAUUUUCAUUUACUUCCAGAAUUAUUUUCUACUAUAUGUUUGUUAUUAUUUCGAAUUUGAAAUAAGUUUUUUUUUUGUAAUUAUUAUUGUUUCUUUUGGCUAUAUUUCGAGUGAAGAAAAUGACUGGAUGGAAUGGACAAUUAAUGCUCGAGGACAACUAUCUUUGAUGUGGAAAGUUAAUUAUUGUUAAUUCAGUGGGCCCAUCGUUUAGCCCAAUGGGCCCUUUUCGAAUGAUAUGUGAAAUUUUAUCUCUUUACCUGUUUAACCGCGGAGAAAAUAACUCUUUUAUUUUGUACCUUGUAUAGGCAGACAAUAACAUAGAAUCUUUACCGUAUUACACAAACUAGUUUUUGUUACAUGCAAAAUGUUUCUUGUCUUAAAAAUAUUAACUCCAGAACUCUGACGUGGCAUUAUCAUAAAGCGAACAUAUAAGAUCGGAAAAAAAAUCAACGGCUCAGAUUAAAACCUCAGCUUAUGAUUCUUCUUUAUCUACUCCCUCUCUUCUCCUUCCUCACUCCCUCCCCUCUUUCUCUCUUCCCUCGCUCUCUGUUCAGAGCCAAAAGCAGAGCACAUAUACACACACACUUACGAUGUUGCUUGGAAAGAGACAACGACCACCGAUCAACAGAACAACUAGCCUGUCCGAGAUUAAGUUCGAUCUGAACCUUCCCAGCGAAUCAGAGGUACCAUCAACUCAUCAGAGUCCAAACCAAAAUACUGUGGUGGGACCGUCCGGUUCCAACGGUCAACACGUAGCAGCAGCCGUCGAUCCACGUUUCUUGGCUAUGGUUUCACCGAGAGGUAACCUGAGGAGACACUCAGGCGAGUUUUCCGACGCUGGACAUUUCUUGAGAUCUUGCUCCCUAUGUGAACGCUUACUUGUUCCUGGCCGUGACAUCUAUAUGUACAGGUAUGUAUAUGAACCAAAUAAUAAUAAAAACCGCUGACUCUUGAAUCUCUGAUCAUAGAGAGAGAUAUUCGUUAAAAUGAGAGUAAUUUUUUUCUUUUUACUUUUUAACCGUUUAACGAGUGUCUUAUUUUUUUGAAUCCAAACCCUAACAAAAAGUACAAUAAUUAGUUCCGGAAGAUAUUAGGCUUCCCUAAUUUGGAUGAUUUAUGUUUAUUUAAUUUGUUGUUUAUCAUUGGAAUAUUGUAUAAUUUUUUAUAAUUAAUUUUUGUCAUUAAAAUGGCAGGGG